Molecule: long non-coding RNA, 1318 nt
Organism: Piliocolobus tephrosceles (Ugandan red Colobus)
Lineage: Eukaryota; Metazoa; Chordata; Mammalia; Primates; Cercopithecidae
Exons: 2
Source: RefSeq, a predicted model, not a curated record
UUAUUUUUAGAGACAGGGCUCCCUGUGUUGCCCAGGCUGGUCUCAAACUUCUGGGCUCGAGCACGCCUCCUGCCUCAGCCUCCCGAAGUGUUGGGAUUGCAGGCCUUAGCCACUGUGUCUGGCCUGUAUUCUCUUUUGAUGGAAAUAGGAACCCAUUCUUUAUCACUCCUUUUACAAAUGCCAGCCAGAUACAGUGGCUCACACCUGUAUUCUCAGCACUUUAGGGGGCUAAAGUGGGUGGAUUGCUUGAGCCCAGGAAUUUGAGACCAGACUGGCAACAUGAUGAAACCCCAUCUCUACAAAAAAUACAAAAACUCAAUGCUCAAUGUUCAUUUCCUCUCUGUCAGGGUGCUCAUUGGUUUAUGCUAAAUUUUAAGGAAGUUGUAAACUUGGAGCUAAACUCGGUUGCCUAAUCUAGUCUCUCAAUUUCUAGAAAUUAGUACUAAAAUUAUCCAGGUGUGGUGGUAUGUGUGUGUAGUCCCUGCUACUCAGGAGGCUGAGGCAGGAGGAUAGCUUGAGCCUAGGAGGUUUAGGCUACGGCGAGCCGUGAUCAUGUCACUGCGUCUCAGCCUGGGCAACAGAAUGAGACUCUGUCUCCAAAGAGACAGACAAAAAUGACUCUAGUAGUGUUCUAAUAGCUAACUCCAAUGCUCCCUUUAUACAAUAAACACAGUGGUCAUUUGAGUGUUAACAAAUGGAUCCUGGGUCUUUGCAGGUACUUAAGGCCAAGUUCAGAGUGUCAGAGUUUAUAUAUCUGGAGUUCAUCUGAUUCUGCAUAACAGCAUUCUAAGCUCAGACACUCCAAGAAGGAGACCGACCUGGUCUGGAAUUUUUCUGAGGAGAUGUAAAUGUUUAGAGAAUUGAUACCUUUCCUGGAAAUGAAAUACUCUUUUAAGUUUUUAGGUAUAUAAUGUCUGGACGGAGGGAGAGGGAAACAAAGAACAAAGGUGAGUAAGAUGGCGUACUUCCGGGUUCUUCAUCACCAACUUUCCCGCGCCUGGGAAAGGCACAGGUCAACUGCGCAGGCGCAACAUGACGUGCGACCGAAGAAACCGAAACCUACCUGGCUGCGCCCACCGCAUGGCCCUUGACCCGCCUGCAUCCCGCCUACCGCCCUCCCACUCCCAGGCCCAAGACAUAAAAGCCGCUCCCGGCAGGCGUGCAGCGGGAACUUCCUCGGCCCCUCCUCAUAUGCGGACCUAGGAACCUCGCCAGAGAACGCCAGAGCGACUUCCUAGGCCUCUGCUGCCGGAGACUGGUGAACCUCGCUUCCUCUUUCUUUACAUUGGCUACGUAAUAAAGUUUCCUUUUUAUCUUG